This 65-nucleotide transfer RNA is filed under the name Opimothrips tubulatus. RNAcentral describes it as "tRNA-Asn". Lineage: Eukaryota; Metazoa; Arthropoda; Insecta; Thysanoptera; Thripidae. The record is from RNAcentral.
UUAAUUGAAACCAAAAUAGAGGUAAAUUAUUGUUAAUAAUUUAAUUGAGGUUUUCUCCAAUUAAU